This 468-nucleotide ribosomal RNA is filed under the name uncultured bacterium. Its description in RNAcentral is "partial 16S ribosomal RNA". It matches the Rfam family "Bacterial small subunit ribosomal RNA", at positions 29 to 507 of the family's 1533-position model. The record is from RNAcentral.
AACGAACGCUGGCGGCGUGCUUAACACAUGCAAGUCGAACGGCAAGGCCCUGAUUUUGUGGUGUUCUCGAGUGCCAAAGGCGUGAGUAACACGUGUAUAUCCUGGUCUAGACUUUCGUAUAACUUCAGGAAACGAGGGCUAAUACCAGAUCGCAGCUCCUCUUGCAUGGAGAGCGUUGGAUAGUCGCGGCGGGUGGGGAUGGACUCGCGGAUUAUGAGCUUGUUAGUGGGGUAGUGGCUUACCAACGCAUUGACGGGUAGCCGGCCUGAGAGGGUGAACGGCGACAAUGGGACUAAGAGACGGACCAGACGCCUACGGGAGGCAGCAGGGGGGAAUCUUGCACAAUGGGCGGAAGCCGGAUGCAGCAACGCCGCGGGCGGGAUGACGGCCUUCGGGGUAUAAACAGCUUUCGCCUGUGACGAAGCGUGAGUGACGGUAAUGGGUAAAGAAGCACCGGCUAACUACGUG